This 102-nucleotide non-coding RNA is filed under the name uncultured Mitsuokella sp. Its description in RNAcentral is "SAM riboswitch (S box leader)". It matches the Rfam family "SAM riboswitch aptamer (S box leader)". From Rfam's summary of the family: The SAM riboswitch is found upstream of a number of genes which code for proteins involved in methionine or cysteine biosynthesis in Gram-positive bacteria. Lineage: Bacteria; Bacillati; Bacillota; Negativicutes; Selenomonadales; Selenomonadaceae. The record is from RNAcentral.
CUCAUCCAGAGCAGUGGAGGGACUGGCCCUGUGAAGCUGCGGCAACCAUUGACUUCGUCAAAACGGUGCCAAUUCCUUUAGGCAUAGGCCUAUAAGAUGAGA